Molecule: small RNA, 9927 nt
Filed under: Arabidopsis thaliana (thale cress)
Lineage: Eukaryota; Viridiplantae; Streptophyta; Magnoliopsida; Brassicales; Brassicaceae
Description: ATSL273250
Rfam family: MIR854 microRNA precursor family (bases 4276-4450)
Source: RNAcentral
AAGUACAAAUGUUGCAAACCCGCAGGACCAAGUCUACCCUUCACAGCAGCAAAAUUAACCCAAGCCCUUUGUUCCAUACAACCAAGGUCAGGGUUAUGUUCCUAAGCAGCAGUAUCAGGGCAACUAUCAGCAGCAACUUCCACCACCUAGGUUCACACAGCAGCAACAACAACCAGCUUCAACAACUCCAGAUUCAGACUUGAAGAACAUGUUACAGCAGAUUCUCCAGGGACAAGCAGCAGGAGCAAUGGAUCUCGCCAAAAAGAUGGCAGAAAUCCAUAACAAGGUUGAUUGCACUUUCAACAAUCUGAACAUUAAACUUGAGGCACUCACCUCAAAGGUCAGAUACAUGGAAGGACAAACUGCGUCGACCUCUGCUACCAAAGUAACAGGACUUCCAGGAAAGUCCAUACAGAACCCGAAGGAUUACGCCACCGCUCACGCUAUCACCAUCUGUCGUGAUCGAGAGUUGCCUACUCGACAUGUCUCCACAUCAAUCACCAAGGACAGUGAUGUUCAAGACGGGGAGGUUUCUACUCAGAUUGAAAUUUCAGUUGUUGGACUCGACCAUUCAGCUGGAUCCCAUUUUCAAACUCAGUUCAACCUAGACGAGAAAGCAGCCAUCAUUGAGAGGAUGGUAAAACGAUUAAAGUCAGCACCAUUACCUUCACGUGCUCUUCCAUGGAUAUUCAGGAAAGCAUGGAUAGAAAGAUACAAUUCUCUUGCAGAGAAGAAGCUUGAUGAAAUGGAAGCGGUGAUGCCUCUAAUAGAAGUUCUCAACCUGAUCCUGGAUCCUCACAAAGAUGUGAGAAAGUCAAUUUUGGAAAGGAUCAAGAUUUAUCAAGAUUCAGAAGACGAAUGUGAUGUUAAUCCGUCUAGGGCCACUGUUAAGAGGAGUGUUCAAGAAAAACUGGAAGAUCAUGGAACUUUCACUCUACCAUGUUCCAUUGGUCAAUUGGUUUUUAGCAAUUGUCUAUGUGAUUAGGGAGCUUUAGUAAGCUUAAUGCCUUGCGACCUGACUUUGAUCCUUGCUAAUAGGUCUGCAAGGAAACCCCUUUGCCUGUUACGAGAUCUGCCAGUAAUGAUUAAUGUAGUGGAAGUACCUACAGAUUUCGUUGUGCUUGAGACGGAAGUAGAACCUAAGAAUCUUCUAAUCCUAGGAAGACCUUUCUUAGCCUCCGUGGGAGCGAUGAUAGAUGUCAAAGACAGAAGAAUAAGUCUUAACCUUGGGAAGCACAUCAAGCUGCAGUUUGACAUCAACGAAACUUCGCAAAGGACAGCUGUAGAAGAAAAGAUCAGGGCUCAACCUCAACCUUCGAAUUCAAUCACCAGACCAAGCACAGCCUCUACACCUGACUUGCGAGAUCUCAAAAAAAAAAUCUGAUGAGCAAGAAGAAACCAUAGAGAAGCUAGCUCAGACAGUUGAGGAACUUAAGAGUAAACUGGAUCAGAUGCAAGAGAAAGCUCAAUCGAAAUGCGGAAUUGACACUAUCCCGAGAAAAAAGAUUACUUCAAGAUGGUCUAAGGAGAUAGAUUAUCCACCAGAAGAGAAAGAGGCCUACUUCGAGGAAAGAAGAAUUGAGUAUUCUGCUACGCAUCUCUCAAGAGAGGAUGCUGAAUAUGAUGAUGAGAUUAGAGAGGACUAUGCAGAUCCUCUCUAUCACCUAUUUUCUUCUUAAUGAGUGUGAGGAGUCAAGCUAGAGACUUUAAACAAGCUCACUUGGGAGAAAUUCCCAAGACUGUUUCUGUAAAUAAAACUUUUAUUUUCUUGUUAUUUUUUAUUUGUUUUUGGUUGUGUUUGUGAUUCUCAGGAACAGAGAAACAGCGUGGAGGUAGAGUAAAAAUUUAAAAAUUUUACUAUAUAGAGCAACAGGGGAUCGAGUAUGUCGGAAAUUCAAGAGUUUGAAAAACUUUUGUUGCACUAAGAGGCCAUGAGCUCGAGUAAGUUUGGUCGAGUAUUAGUGAUGAUUUAAAAAACCCAAAAUUUUGAAAUCAUAUCUAUACUCGACCAACAGAAGCUACAGAGACUUGCAGGGAGUUUAACAAGUUUACAGAGGAUUACAGAGGGUUCUAGUCAAUAGAGAACAAUGCUUCAGGACAAACAGACAGAGCGUGGCCCACCACCUCUCACCUUUGUUCCCCCACGCGUUUUUAGAGGUAACAAAAUCUCUUCCCUCCUUCCCCACCACUCGAUCUCACCCUAUCCUUCCCCACCACUCGAUCCAACCUCAUCUCUUCGACAUCUCUCCCUCACAACUCUCUCUCGACCAAACCUCACCAUCUCUCUUCCUCUCCAAACACUCGACCACACAAAAACACUCGAUCUCUCCCCUCCGGCUUCGUCUCCCUUCUCACUCGAUUACGACACAGCCACCGACACUCACGCCACCGCCUUCAUCCUCUCUUUCACUCAACGAUGGGACCAGUUUUGCCAUCUCUCCCUUCUCACCACUCGCCGUUCACUCGACCACUCCGCCCUUCACUUCGCCAGAAGCUUCACCGUCUCAACGUUUCCUCCCUCUUCACUCUUGACCCCGCUGCUCCUCUCUAUUCACCGCCUACUCGAUCGUCGGACCUUCACCGUCUCACCAUCGCUUCCUUUUCACUCAAUCUCGCCUCCCAUUCACUCGACCGCAAGAGCACCUCAGCUUCUACUUCGAUUUCUUUCUCUCACCUCUCCGUUCUCACCGUUCACUCGACCUCGCCAUUCACUGCGCCUCCGUUCAUCUCUUCACUCGACCGCUCCUCAAACCGCCACCGUCUUCUCUCCAUUCAACGUAUACUCGACCACGCUGUUACUGUCUCUCAUUCGUGUUCACUCGACCGCUAUACCCGAAGCCACAAUCUCACUGUACUCGACCGUUUUACUCGACCGCGUACUUGACCGGUUUAGUGUUUGCAUUUUAUUUGGACUAACAUAUUGAUAUUUGGCUUUGAGUUACAUUCUUUUUCAGGAAAUCAAUAUGAGUAACUACAGCGGCGAAUCCUCCAUGGAUGCGGAUUACAACGUCGAUGAAGCUGAAUCUUGGUCAACUGGACCAUAGAGAGAGCAACAAGCUUAUGAGAGCUUCAGAGCUGAGACCGAACGUUCAGUAGCUCGACGCAAUGAGAGGAGAGCUGAGAUUGCUAGAGGAAAUAGAGCAAUGACCAGCAGAUAUGAGUUGAUCAACGAAGACAUUGACGUCGAGUAUGAGCCUGAGUCAUGGCAUAGAGAGACGAAGCUGUUGAACAGGCCUGAUGAAGUUACAGUGGAGGAGUACAUCAGACUUUUUGAGCUGAACGACUUCUGGGGAACGAGGUACCCCUGUUAUCAGACUUUAGCCCAGCUGGAGCUACUGGAGGACGUACAACACUUAUUCGAGAAGUGUCAUCUGGAGACGAUGAUGUCUUACCCGUACGUUGCUUACAAGAAGGAAACAAUAGAGUUUCUCUCCACUCUACAAGUGGAGAUGUAUAAUGGACUUACAGUAGAUGAGCUGGAGAGUGAAGGGUUGGGGUUCUUGACUUUUUCAGUGAACGAGCAGCGUUACCAGCUAUCUAUCAAGAGCUUGGUAGGAUUGUUUGGUUUCCCCAGUGGAAAGGGAACUAAACCCAAAUUCGAGAGGGAAGAGUUGAAGGAUUUGUGGUUAACCAUUGGGAACGAUAUGGCGCUCAACUCUGCGAGGUCUAAGAGCAACUAGAUUUGAAGCCCUGUGAUCCGCUACUAUCAGCGCUCUGUAGCAAAUGUUCUGUACUCUAGGGAAUCUACAGGCACUGUGUCUAACACAGACAUGGAGAUGAUUGAUUCUGCACUCAAGUGCAUUCUCCAUAGAACAAAGGGGAAGAAGGUCCUGAAGGGCGACCUCAAUGAUGCACCACUGAUUAUUCUUCGGUUGAUCCACUUGUGUGGAUACAGGAAGUGGGCGCACACCAACGGGAAGAAGAGGGCGCGAGGACCCCUUUGUGUAGAUGGUGUUGUGACACCGAUUCUGAUUGCAUGUGGUGUACCUCUCACGUCUCCAGCGUUUGAUCUGAGGAUGAUGGAUUUAGAUCAUUUGCGUCGUUGUGAGUUUCUGGAGCACGACAUGGUUGCCGAUUUCUAUCGCUACGAAUUCGAGCACUCCUUGACCCGAACAGCCAACAUUCUGCUUUCCUGCACUGAGGCCACAACCAUACUUAGGGCGAAAACAUUGACUUCAAGCCUGCGCGUGAUUACCUCUACUUUGAGAGCGCUCUACCGACUGAUGACAACGUCCCUACAACAUAAGCUACAGAGGAUGAGAUUGCUGAGACAGAUGAUGAUAGGGAGGAGGAGUACGAUACGAGCAUGUAUCAUUUCAGUGAGCACGUACCUCCAGCGCGGAAGAGCAAGAGCUUGAGCGAAACUCACAGAAACAACAGUAAGUUGCAGAGGUGGAGCGUACCUCCUAAGUUGCACAAAAACAACGUACCUCUAGUUACAGUGAUAUCAAUACCAAGGUUGAAGCACUGACAUCUAAGAUCAGAUACAUAGAAGGCCAAACUGGGUCGCCCUCAGCACCCAAAUUUACAGGACCUUACGGAAAAUCAAUGCCAAAUUCAAAGGAGUAUGCUCAUGCUAUCACACCUAGAAGCGGUAAAGAAUUACCCACAAAAGUGAGUCCGAACCAGAACACUGAGGACAGUGUGGAGCAAGAUGGGGAGGAUUUCUGUCAGAAUGAAGAUUCCGCUGAAAAAGCAAUAGAAGAGCCUAUACUCGACCGAUCUACACGACCACUAGCUCCUGCAGCGUCUCCUCUUGUUGGAAAACCAGUUGUCGCCAAAACCAAGGAAAAUGUCUUCGUUCCCCCACCUUACAAGCCACCACUCCCAUUUCCUGGUCGAUUCAAGAAGGUCAUGAUACAAAAGUACAAAGCUCUCCUGGAGAAACAAUUGAAAAAUCUUGAAGUCACGAUGCCUCUUGUCGACAGUCUUGCACGUAUACCAGACUCUAACAAAUAUGUGAAAGACAUGAUUACAGAAAGAAUCAAAGAAGUCCAAAGAAUGGUGGUGCUAAGUCACGAAUGCAGUGCGAUCAUUCAGCAGAAGAUCAUUCCAAAAAACUAGGAGAUCCUGGUUCGUUCACCUUGCCUUGCGCUCUUGGUCCUUUAGCCUUCAGCAAGUGCCUCUGUGAUCUAGGUGCAUCUGUGAGUCUCAUGCCUCUCUCUGUUGCAAAGAAACUGGGCUUCAACAAGUACAAGCCCUGCAAUAUAUCCUUGAUCCUAGCUGACAGAUCUGUUAGAAUUCCCCAUGGUAUGCUGAAAGACUUACCAGUCAUGAUAGGCGUGGUCGAAGUACCUACAGACUUUGUGAUUUUAGAAAUGGAUGAAGAACCCAAAGACCCUUUGAUACUGGGAAGACCAUUUUUAGCUACAGCUGGAGCUAUCAUUGAUGUUAAGAAGGGAAAUAUUGAUCUUAACCUCGGGAGAGAUCUCAAGAUGACCUUCGAUAUCACCAACACCAUGAAGAAGCCUACAAUAGUAGGAAAUGUUUUCUGGAUUGAAGAGAUGGAUAUGUUAGCUGACGAAAUGCUAGAAGAGCUAGGAGAAACAGAUCAUCUAUAGAGUGCUCUAACAAAGGAUAGCAAAGAAGGAGAUUUACAUUUGGAGACUUUGGGGUACCAGAAGCUUUCAGAUGAACACAAAGCAGUUGAGAAUCCAGGAGAAUAUGAAGAUUUGGGUGAAAGAGCAAGGGGGGAAUAUAUACUCGACCACAUCACUCGACCAACAGCCCAUUCAGUAUACUCGACCACAUCACUCGAUCACAACCCCUCCUCUGAAGCCAACUUAGUAUCCGAUGACUGGUCUGAACUCAAAGCGCCCAAAGUCGAUUUAAAACCAUUACCAAAAGGGCUAAGGUACAUUUUUCUUGGACUAAACUCUACUUAUCCUGUCAUAGUGAAUGAUGAGCUAACUACUGAUCAAGUAAACCUGCUGAUAACUGAGCUUAAAAAGUAUAGGAAAGCUAUAGGAUACUCGUUAGAUGAUAUUAAGGGGAUUUCACCUACCUUGUGCAUCCAUAGAAUCCACCUUGAAAAUGAAUCCUACUCUAGCAUUGAACCUCAAAGGAGAUUAAACCCAAACUUGAAAGAGGUUGUGAAAAAGGAGAUACUUAAACUACUAGAUGCUGGGGUUAUCUACCCUAUCUCUGAUAGCAUUUGGGUAUCCCCAGUUCACUGCGUUCCUAAAAAAGGAGGUAUGACAGUUGUUAAAAAUUCUAAAGAUGAACUGAUACCCACUAGGACUAUAACUGGACAUAGGAUGUGUAUUGACUAUAGGAAGUUAAAUGCUGCCUCUAGAAAAGACCAUUUCCCAUUACCCUUCAUUGAUCAGAUGCUAGAAAGAUUAGCAAACCAUCAUUACUAUUGCUUCUUGGAUGGUUAUAGCGGAUUUUUUCAAAUCCCUAUUCACCCAAAUGACCAAGAGAAAACCACUUUUACUUGUCCUUAUGGAACCUUUUCUUACAAGCGUAUGCCUUUCUGUUUCUGUAAUGCACCAGCUACUUUUUAGUUGUGUAUGACUUCCAUUUUCUCGGAUUUGAUAGAGGAGAUGGUAGAGGUAUUCAUGGAUGAUUUUUCUGUGUAUGGCUCUUCCUUCUCCUCGUGUUUGUUGAACCUGUGCAGGAUACUUAAAAGAUGUGAAGAGACAAACCUGGUGCUGAACUGGGAGAAAUGCCAUUUCAUGGUUAGAGAAGGCAUCGUUUUGGGCCACAAAAUUUCUGAGGAGGGAAUAGAGGUUGAUAAGGCUAAGGUUGACGUGAUGAUGCAGUUACAGCCACCAAAGACUGUCAAGGACAUCAAGAGUUUUCUUGGACAUGCAGGAUUUUAUAGAAGAUUCAUCAAGGAUUUCUCCAAGUUGGCAAGACCGCUCACUAGACUGUUGUGCAAGGAAACCGAGUUUGCAUUCGACGAAGAAUGUUUGACAGCCUUUAAGUUAAUCAAGGAAGCUUUGGUCACUGCCCCAAUAGUCCAAGCUCCAAACUAGGACUUCCCAUUCGAGAUCAUGUGCGAUGCUUCAGAUUAUGUAGUAGGAGCAGUUUUGGGCCAACGGAUUGAUAAAAAGCUGCAUGUGAUCUACUACACAAGUAGAACGAUGGAUGAUGCACAGGUAAGGUAUGCCACUAUAGACAAGGAACUGCUAGCUGUGGUAUUUGCAUUCGAGAAAUUUAGAAGCUACCUAGUGGGCUCUAAGGUGACAGUCUACACUGAUCAUGCUGCUUUGAGGCACAUAUAUGCGAAGAAAGAUACCAAACCUAGGCUGUUGAGAUGGAUCUUAUUGCUCCAAGAGUUUGACAUGGAGAUAGUUGAUAAGAAGGGAAUUGAAAACGGUGUAGCUGAUCAUCUGUCUAGGAUGAGAAUUGAAGACGAGGUCCCUAUUGACGACUCCAUGCCAGAAGAACAGCUAAUGGCAAUUCAGCAACUUAACGAGAGUGCCCAAAUUCGGAAAUCACUCGAUCAAGUAUGUGCAAUCGAAGAAAAACUUCCGUGGUAUGCUGAUCACGUCAAUUACUUGGUUAGUGGUGAAGAGCCCCCAAAUAUGUCGAGCUAUGAGAAGAAGAAGUUCUUCAAGGACAUUAACCAUUUCUACUGGGACGAACCUUAUCUCUACACACUCUGCAAAGAUAAGAUCUACAGGAGAUGCGUCUCACAAGACGAAAUCGAAGGCAUCCUACUGCACUGCCAUGGGUCUGCCUAUGGUGGCCAUUUUGCAACGUUCAAGAUAGUGUCAAAAAUCUUGCAAGCAGGUUUUUAGUGGACGACAAUGUUUAAGGAUGCUCAGGAAUUCAUCUCGAAAUGUGACUCAUGUCAGAGAAGAGGGAACAUCAGCAGAAGUAAUGAGAUGCCUCAGAAUCCGAUCUUGGAAGUUGAGAUUUUUGACGUUUGGGGAAUAGAUUUUAUGGGUCCAUUUCUUUCUUCUUACGGAAACAAGUACAUACUGGUCGCAGUGGACUAUGUAUCAAAAUGGGUUGAAGCCAUAGCUAGCCCCACCAAUGAUGCUAGAGUUGUGCUAAAGCUGUUCAAGACAAUUAUCUUCCCUAGAUUUGGAGUACCGAGAGUUGUAAUCAGUGACGGAGGGGAACAUUUUAUCAACAAGGUUUUUGAGAACCUUUUGAAGAAACAUGGAGUAAAACACAAGGUAGCCACUCCUUAUCAUCCACAGACGAGCGGGCAGGUGGAAAUCUCCAACAGGGAGAUAAAAGCAAUUCUAGAGAAAACAGUGGGGAUUACAAGGAAAGAUUGGUCUGCCAAGCUCGAUGACGCAUUAUGGGCUUAUAAAACAGCCUUCAAGACCCCUAUUGGCACGACUCCUUUCAACCUUCUCUAUGGAAAAUCCUAUCACUUGCCUGUUGAACUCGAGUAUAAAGCCAUGUGGGCAGUUAAACUCCUGAACUUCGACAUUAGAACCGCCGAGGAGAAGCGGUUGAUCCAACAAAACGAUCUCAACGAGAUUCGCUUAGAAGCUUAUGAGAGUUCCAAAAUCUACAAGGAGCGAACCAAGUCUUUCCAUGACAAGAAGAUAGUCUCAAGAGAUUUUAAGGUUGGUGAUCAAGUGCUGCUGUUCAACUCACGCCUGAGGCUUUUUCCAGGCAAGCUCAAGUCUAGAUGGUCUGGUCCUUUCUCUGUUACUACAGUCCGACCUUAUGGUGCUAUCACUCUAGCUAGGAAGAAUGGAGAAUUCACAGUCAAUGGCCAGCGGCUCAAGAAAUACAUGGUAGAUCAAUUUAUUCCAGAAGGAACUUCUGUUCCUUUGGAGGAGCCUUUAAACGCCUAAAGAGUAUGAGGAGUCAAGCUAAAGACCUAAAACAAGCUCACUUGGGAGGAAGUCCCAUGCCUAUCUUUGUACAGAUCUUUUAUUUCCCUUGUUGUUUUUGAUGCAUUUUGUUAGUGUUUUCAGGAGACAUGUAUGAAGAGCAAAGGGAAAUGGAUUCUGGCCUUGAAUAGCAAUACACUCGACCACAGAGCAAUCAAGGACACUUGACAUUGUUCUGGUUUCUCCACCCCAGGAAAUCACUCGACCACACCUUACAAGGACCGAAUGAUGAUGUGAUCGAGUGUAGCGAAUGAUGCAAUCACAACUUCUGCAUGUUAGUAAUCCACUCGACCGUGGUACUGGCCGCAGCAUAAGAAGAGAGGUCGAAUAUCAUCAGAGCGGUGCUGGCCGCGACGAAGGAGCAGAGGUCGAGUACCCCCAAGGGGAAGCUGAGACACAACAGGGAGACUCCUCGAUGGCCUGGGAGCAAUCACAGGCAGCUAUUGAUGACCAACUCCGCUUCUUCUUCUACUGAGGUAAGCACCUCACUUCACCAUUGUAAUAUAACAUCUCCUGUUUUUAUUUUGUUUCUGUGAUGUGUUUUGUCCUGAGUACUCUCUUCCAAAUUUGGUCACACAGUGGACUGUGUGAUUUAAGUUUGGGGGAGGGCUCAGGAAGUGUGUGUUGCAUUGUAUAUAAUCUUGAGUCUGCAUUCAUCUAAGGCAUAGAAAAAACCAAAAAAAUUGAAAAAUUUCAAAAAAUGAUUUCACAACAAUAGAGUGCUCAUGUAGUUGCAUUGCAUCUAGGAUCGAGUCUAGAGUGUUUCGUUUAGGAUUGUUGCAUAUGCAUAGGGGAUAAUGAUGAGAUAGCCUUGUAAGCAUUUUGGUUCACCCGAUAAACUCAGUGCCCUCGUUGUUAGUUGUCUCAUGCGUAGUCAAUGAAAUUGAAGUAAAACUGCAUCAUGCCUACAUUGCUCUACUCGACCACACUGUUAGGAUCUGAUACCAUUCCCUAUCAAUUUGAACUUGAAUCUGAUUUAGAAUUAUCAUGUCUUGGCAUCGAAUUAGAACUCAUGGAUACCCUAAAAUACUUGGAUUUUCUUACUCAUUUUAACCACUCUUGUUAGUCCAAGUAGCUCACUCUCCUUAUUAGAGCAGUUAACCCGAACCCAAACAAAAAA